Acanthosepion pharaonis is the source of this 111-nucleotide non-coding RNA. Lineage: Eukaryota; Metazoa; Mollusca; Cephalopoda; Sepiida; Sepiidae. The record is from the annotation of a GenBank genome assembly.
UAUGGUCACAUCACAUUGAAACACUAGUUCCUGUAUGAUCACCAAAGUUAAGCGACAUUAAGCCUUGUCAGUACCUAGAUAGGUGACCACUUGAUGACCAGGUGCUGUAAG